Molecule: ribosomal RNA, 497 nt
Filed under: uncultured bacterium
Lineage: Bacteria
Description: partial 16S ribosomal RNA
Rfam family: Bacterial small subunit ribosomal RNA
Source: RNAcentral
GAUGAACGCUGGCGGCGUGCCUAAUACAUGCAAGUCGAGCGAACGGACGAGAAGCUUGCUUCUCUGAUGUUAGCGGCUGACGGGUGAGUAACACGUGGAUAACCUACCUAUAAGACUGGGAUAACUUCGUGAAACCGGAGCUAAUACCGGAUAAUAUUUUGAACCGCAUGGUUCAAAAGUGAAAGACGGUCUUGCUGUCACUUAUAGAUGGAUCCGCGCUGCAUUAGCUAGUUGGUAAGGUAACGGCUUACCAAGGCAACGAUGCAUAGCCGACCUGAGAGUGUGAUCGGCCAAACUGCAACUGGAACACGGACCAGACUUCUACGGAAGGCAGCAGUAGGGAGUCUUCCGCAAUGGGCGCAAGCAUGACGGAGCAACGCCGCGGGAGUGCUGAAGGUCUUCGGAUCGUAAAACUCUGUUAUUAGGGAAGAACAUAUGUGUAAGUAACUGUGCACAUCUUGACGGUACCUAAUCAGAAAGACACGGCUAACUACGUG